RNAcentral lists this ribosomal RNA (324 nucleotides) under uncultured eukaryote. RNAcentral's name for it is "partial 18S ribosomal RNA". It matches the Rfam family "Eukaryotic small subunit ribosomal RNA", at positions 1470 to 1796 of the family's 1831-position model. The record is from RNAcentral.
CCCUUAGAUGUUCUGGGCCGCACGCGCGCUACACUGAUGCAUUCAACGAGUUUCUUCCUGGUCCGAGAGGAAUGGGUAACCUUUUGAAAGUGCAUCGUGAUAGGGAUAGACUAUUGCAAUUAUUGGCCUUCAACGAGGAAUUCCUAGUAGACGUAGUUCAUCAGACUGCAUCGAUUACGUCCCUGCCCUUUGUACACACCGCCCGUCGCUCCUACCGAUUGAAUGCUCAGGUGAGCCAUUCGGACUUUCAUCAUGCUGGUUUCCAGUUUUGAUGAAGGAAAGUCUUGCGAACCUUAUCAUUUAGAGGAGGGAGAAGUCGUAACA